RNAcentral lists this non-coding RNA (24 nucleotides) under Arabidopsis thaliana (thale cress). Lineage: Eukaryota; Viridiplantae; Streptophyta; Magnoliopsida; Brassicales; Brassicaceae. The record is from RNAcentral.
AGGUCCUGUUUGUUUCUCCAUCCA